UUGAYAGUGCACUACACACACUAUCCGCCCGGGAACUACGAGCAUCAGCUUAAAACCCAAAGGACUUGGCGGUGCUUUAGAUCCACCUAGAGGAGCCUGUUCUAGAACCGAUAACCCCCGUUCAACCUCACCUUUCCUUGUUUAUCCCGCCUAUAUACCGCCGUCGUCAGCUUACCCUGUGAAGGCCAAGUAGUAAGCAAAAUUAGCACAGCCCAAAACGCCAGGUCGAGGUGUAGCGUAUGGAAAGGGAAGAAAUGGGCUACAUUCCCUCUAUAUCAGGGAAUACGAAGAAUAUACUGAAACGUGUAUUUAAAGGAGGAUUUAGCAGUAAGAGAAAAAUAGAGUGUUUCUCUG
Molecule: ribosomal RNA, 354 nt
Filed under: Rypticus saponaceus (greater soapfish)
Lineage: Eukaryota; Metazoa; Chordata; Actinopteri; Perciformes; Serranidae
Description: partial 12S ribosomal RNA
Rfam family: Bacterial small subunit ribosomal RNA
Source: RNAcentral